UGGGGAAUAUUGGGCAAUGGGCGAAAGCCUGACCCAGCAACGCCGCGUGAAGGAAGAAGGUCUUCGGAUUGUAAACUUCUUUUAUGAGGGACGAAGGACGUGACGGUACCUCAUGAAUAAGCCACGGCUAACUACGUGCCAGCAGCCGCGGUAAUACGUAGGGGGCAAGCGUUAUCCGGAUUUACUGGGUGUAAAGGGAGCGUAGGCGGCGGAGCAAGUCAGAAGUGAAAGCCCGGGGCUCAACCCCGGGACGGCUUUUGAAACUGCCCUGCUUGAUUUCAGGAGAGGAAAGCGGAAUUCCUAGUGUAGCGGUGAAAUGCGUAGAUAUUAGGAGGAACACCAGUGGCGAAGGCGGCUUUCUGGACUGACAAUGACGCUGAGGCUCGAAAGCGUGGGAGC
This 399-nucleotide ribosomal RNA is filed under the name uncultured Coprococcus sp. RNAcentral describes it as "bacterial SSU rRNA". It matches the Rfam family "Bacterial small subunit ribosomal RNA", at positions 355 to 769 of the family's 1533-position model. Lineage: Bacteria; Bacillati; Bacillota; Clostridia; Lachnospirales; Lachnospiraceae. The record is from RNAcentral.